AACGAACGCUGGCGGCAUGCCUAACACAUGCAAGUCGAACGAGACCUUCGGGUCUAGUGGCGCACGGGUGCGUAACGCGUGGGAACCUGCCCUUAGGUUCGGAAUAACUCCCCGAAAGGGGUGCUAAUACCGGAUAAUGUAUCCGGACCAAAGAUUUAUCGCCUUUGGAUGGGCCCGCGUUGUAUCAGCUAGUUGGUAGGGUAAACGCCUACCAAGGCGACGAUCCAUAGCUGGGUUGAGAGGAUGAUCAACCACACUGGGGCUGAGACACGGCCCAGACUCCUAGAGGAGGCAGCAGUGGGGAAUAUUGGACGAUGGGCGAAAGCCUGAUCCAGCAAUGCCGCGAAAGUGAUGAAGGCCUUAGGGUUGUAAAGCUCUUUUACACGGGAUGAUAAUGACAGUACCGGGAGAAUAAGCGCCGGCUAACUCCGUG
RNAcentral lists this ribosomal RNA (433 nucleotides) under uncultured bacterium. RNAcentral describes it as "partial 16S ribosomal RNA". It matches the Rfam family "Bacterial small subunit ribosomal RNA", at positions 29 to 507 of the family's 1533-position model. The record is from RNAcentral.